Molecule: transfer RNA, 307 nt
Filed under: uncultured bacterium
Lineage: Bacteria
Description: partial contains 16S ribosomal RNA, 16S-23S ribosomal RNA intergenic spacer, and 23S ribosomal RNA
Rfam family: tRNA (bases 128-201)
Source: RNAcentral
CGCGGCUGGAUCCCCUCCUUUCAAGGAUGUCCCUCAGAUCUUCGCUCACACGGGAUCUAUCGGACGUACCUUACAUCACGGCUCGGCGCCGUCUUCGCAUCCCUUCCUCGAACAGUAACCGAAACUCGGGCUCGUAGCUCAGCUGGUCAGAGCACACGCUUGAUAAGCGUGGGGUCGUAAGUUCAAAUCUUACCGGGCCCACCAUCCGAUCCGUCUGAUGCGCCUUCCGAGCCAUAUCCCAGAUACGGGGCCAUAGCUCAGUUGGGAGAGCGCGUGCUUUGCAAGCAUGAGGUCGUCGGUUCGAUCC